Non-coding RNA from Myotis lucifugus (little brown bat), 79 nucleotides. Lineage: Eukaryota; Metazoa; Chordata; Mammalia; Chiroptera; Vespertilionidae. The record is from Rfam.
AGGCCCAAAGAGAGAGGCAGGGUCUGAUCCGCAGCCUCCGUGGCAGCUGUUGAUCAGCUGUUGCCUCUCUUUCUCUCGA